AGUGAGUCAAACAGAUAAUGUGAUGGGCCUGGCCAGAUUCACCAACAAAGGCUGAUGUGAAAGUUGUGAUGAAUUAACUUUGGGCUUGUUGACACCUUAACUGUGGGACUUUUAGGUAAUAUUGGCAUGUCCACGACAAAUAACAGUCCUUCCCUUGCCCUGGAAACAACCAAAAGUCAUAUUACAUGAAUCUAGGCUCUUCCGAACUGUUUUUGCUGCUUUGAAUGACAUCCAUUCCUGGGCAUUUGCAUUAUGAACAUUCGAUGUAAUUGGAAAAUUCACAACAUGAACAAUAAGGAAAGCCGGGGAGAGAUGUCUACAUUCAUUGAAUUUGGAGCAGCUCAAGUUGGGGCAAAAAUGGAAUUUAUGUGGCACUUCUUUUAAAACUCAUUAAUAUUCUGA
Podarcis raffonei (Aeolian wall lizard) is the source of this 402-nucleotide long non-coding RNA. RefSeq lists it as uncharacterized. NCBI's taxonomy places the organism in Eukaryota, Metazoa, Chordata, Lepidosauria, Squamata, Lacertidae. The record is from RefSeq and is a predicted model, not a curated record. The transcript has 3 exons.